CCUACGGGAGGCAGCAGUGAGGAAUAUUGGUCAAUGGACGAGAGUCUGAACCAGCCAAGUAGCGUGAAGGAUGACUGCCCUAUGGGUUGUAAACUUCUUUUAUAUGGGAAUAAAAUGUUCCACGUGUGGGAUUUUGUAUGUACCAUAUUAAUAAGGAUCGGCUAACUCCGUGCCAGCAGCCGCGGUAAUACGGAGGAUCCGAGCGUUAUCCGGAUUUAUUGGGUUUAAAGGGAGCGUAGGUGGAUUGUUAAGUCAGUUGUGAAAGUUUGCGGCUCAACCGUAAAAUUGCAGUUGAAACUGGCAGUCUUGAGUACAGUAGAGGUGGGCGGAAUUCGUGGUGUAGCGGUGAAAUGCUUAGAUAUCACGAAGAAUUCCGAUUGCGAAGGCAGUUCACUGGACUGCAACUGACACUGAGGCUCGAAAGUGUGGGUAUCAAACAGGAUUAGAUACCCGAGUAGUC
RNAcentral lists this ribosomal RNA (460 nucleotides) under uncultured bacterium. Its description in RNAcentral is "partial 16S ribosomal RNA". It matches the Rfam family "Bacterial small subunit ribosomal RNA", at positions 338 to 795 of the family's 1533-position model. The record is from RNAcentral.